CUGGUUGAUCCUGCCAGACCCGACUGCUAUCGGAUUGGGACUAAGCCAUGCGAGUCAACUCCGCAAGGCGUGGCGCACGGCUCAGUAACACGUAGUCAACCUACCCUGGGGACGGGGAUAACCUCGGGAAACUGAGGCUAAACCCCGAUGGGCCAUGGCUCCUGGAAUGGGCUAUGGCUGAGAUCUACAUGGCCCCAGGAUGGGACUGCGGCCGAUCAGGUUGUUGGUGGGGUAAUGGCCCACCAAGCCUAUAACCGGUGCGGGCUCUGAGAGGAGGAGCCCGGAGAUAGGCACUGAGACAAGGGCCCAGGUCCUAUGGGGCGCAGCAGGCGCGAAACCUCCGCAAUGGGCGAAAGCCCGACGGGGUCAGUCCGAGUGGUUCCCGCUGAGGGAACCUUUUGCCAGCUGUAAACAGGCUGGCGAAUAAGGGGUGGGCAAGUUUGGUGUCAGCCGCCGCGGUAAUACCAGCACCCCGAGUGGUCGGGACGAUUAUUGGGCCUAAAGCAUCCGUAGCCGGCCCAGUAAGUCCUCCGUUAAAUCCAACGGCUCAACCGUUGGGCUGCGGGGGAUACUGCUGGGCUAGGGGACGGGAGAGGCGAGGGGUAUUCCCGGGGUAGGGGUAAAAUCCACUGAUCCCGGGAGGACCACCAGUGGCGAAGGCGCCUCGCUAGAACGUGCCCGACGGUGAGGGAUGAAAGCUGGGGGAGCGAACCGGAUUAGAUACCCGGGUAGUCCCAGCCGUAAACGAUGUAGGCUCGGUGUUGGGCUGCCUCAGUGGCAGCCCAGUGCCGCAGGGAAGCCGUUAAGCCUACCGCCUGGGGAGUACGGCCGCAAGGCUGAAACUUAAAGGAAUUGGCGGGGGAGCACCAC
This 870-nucleotide ribosomal RNA is filed under the name uncultured archaeon. RNAcentral's name for it is "bacterial SSU rRNA". It matches the Rfam family "Archaeal small subunit ribosomal RNA", at positions 4 to 882 of the family's 1478-position model. The record is from RNAcentral.